Long non-coding RNA from Lepus europaeus (European hare), 6906 nucleotides. RefSeq lists it as uncharacterized. NCBI's taxonomy places the organism in Eukaryota, Metazoa, Chordata, Mammalia, Lagomorpha, Leporidae. The transcript has 11 exons. The record is from RefSeq and is a predicted model, not a curated record.
CCGGCGCCCAGCCCGGUGCCGCGGCUCGGCGCGGCCCCCCAGCCAGCGCCCCGACCCGGAGCCGAUUACCUGCAAUGAUGAAAUGAAGUAACUCAAGAUGAGCAAGUUAAAAGUGGUAUCAGAGAAAAGGAACACCUAGAUGAAUGCCACUCCUACAUGAGAAUUGGGAUAGCACUGUACAAAAGAUGUGUCAAAGCUGGUUUUGGAAAGGAAACAUGGAAACUGUUAAUAGCUCCUGAGACCAAGAACCCAGAACUCCUCAGAAGACAAGAGUGAAAAGUUACAUUCUUUCCUUUUGGAGUUCCUUCAGGCAGGAAAGUGUAAUCAAUAGCUCAGUAAAUUAUCCUGUGACAAUUGAAGAGUACCUAAAGCUGAGAAAGUAGGAUGAGCAAGAUUAAUUUCCCUCUCAUUGUUGUCAGCAAACCUCCCACCCACUAUGAAGCUUCCAUCGUGAUCAAGAGGGGUUACUUGCUGCCACCUCCUUUUGGACAUUACACUUAAUAGAUGGCCCAUGAGUGACAAACUUUCUUACUGCCUCAUCUGGUAUUUCUCUGAAUGGAAGAAUAUGAGAUCAAGGUGGAGAGUUACAGAGAGGCAGAGGCAGAGAGAGAGAAGUCUUCACUCCCCAAAUGGCCACAAUGGCCAGAGCUGUGCCAAUCUGAAGCCAGGAACCAGAAGAUUCUUCCGGUCUCCCAUGUGCAUGCAGAGGCCCAAGGACUUCAAGAGAAUGAAUCCAUUUGCUCCCGUCUCUUCUACUCAUCAGUACACUUCCCGUGGGGCAUCUUGAUCCACCUGUAUGUGGCCUGGAGUCUCCCCUGUCAACAGCAUCCGUUCAACAUAGGCUUCCACAGCCUCCCCAGAACCAGAGUCCAGAAUAAGUGUAUAGAGGAGCCCUCUUGUCUCCCGAGAAGCUGAAGAUCUGGGAUCCUACUCCACGCAUCAGUGAAUGAGGUACUGAACCAGGAAUAAUUUGAAAAGGGUUUUGAGAAAGAGGAACUUUUUCCCCUCCCUUCCUCAUCUAUGAACUCCUUUGUGGAUAAAGCUGUCUAUGAAUCAACAUCGGGGACGAUAAGCAGAUGACAGUGUCUUGUUGUGCUGUUGGUGACAGCAAGAAGAGUUUGGGAGUCUCUCUAAUUUCUGUACUUAAAACUCUUACUGACUAUAAAGUGUCGGGGUAGAGCCAAGAGGCGGCGGAAAGGUGGAACAUUUAGAGAAACUCAGAGGAGAAACUCCUGGGAAAGACAGUCAUACCUCAGAGUUCUUCCUUAGCCCAUCUGUGGGCAGGAAUCAGAUGCAUGGACAACAGGAGCUGCCCAAAAGGUGAUGAGGUUCAAGGAUUAACCAGAGGAGGGAUGGAAGCUUCUGUUUUGAAAAGAUCCCAGAGCCAACAUCAAGAUAUCACCAGUUUACAUCACCUGCUGUGACCAGACCCUCAUUGUAUGGUGUGUAACAGAGUGGCUACAAAAGAGACCUCAUUCACUGUGACAUCUGGCCACUCAAAAACUCAUCCUAGAGGCCAAAAUUCAGCCUCUCUGCACAUGCCAUCUCCACCACCCCCUUCUACUGUCUCACUUAACCAUGUUGCUUCUUUACCUGAUUUACUGUCCCCUGAAUGACCAGCUGACUCAGGACCAUCAGAGCCCUUGGCUUCAAAACUCCCAGUGGACCCUUUCCCACCCCAACCUGUUGCUAUUUGCCCUCCCACACCACAUCAUAUUUAGAGAUCAGGUCAGGAUCUCCAUCCAGAGAUUGCUCUGUCUGUAAUGAAUAGCCCUGAUGGGUUCUCAACAGAUAUUCCAACAGUCAGUGAAAUUGACCAUUCAAUGCCAGAAUCAUCCUGGCAGCAGGCCCAGGUGAAGGAUGCCAAAGACUUGUCCUCUUCCAACUUAGAACAAGAUAGCAUCAAGCAUGAGCUUCUUGAUGGCCAAUCUUCUGAGACCUCUUGUACAGAAUGUGCAUCCAACCUUGUAGAACCCACUAACUUCUUGUUACUCAGCCAUGAUGAUCUGGCACUCUUGGACAAACAAAUAAGAAAGAGGGGUGAUUUCCUGAUCUGGACAGAAAGGGAAAGUAAAAUGGAACCAUUUCUAAAACAACUUAGUUCAGACCACCAGCUGAGUACUUCAGAGAAAAUGGUAGAGUCAAGUGCCGACUGACAGACAUGAGUCAGCAGUCAGUGCAGACCACCAACUGUAUAUAUCAGAGCCAAAGUUAGAGUCAGAUGCUGAUAAGCAUGACUCUGCAAUCAUGGCAGAACAGCCACUAGAUACUUCAGAGAACAUCUAGAGUCAAAUGCUGAUAAGCCUGACACAGAAGUCAGGUCAGACCUCCAACUAUAUACUUCAGAGAAAAUGUUAGGGCCAGAUGCUGAUAACCAUGACUCAGCAGACAGGCCAGUAUACCAGUUAAAUGCUUCAGAGAAAAUGUUGGGGCCAGACGCUGAUAAGCAUGAGUCAGCAGUCAGUCUGGACCACCGACCCUAUACUUCGGAGCCAAUGCUAGAAUCAGAUGCUGAUAAGCAUGACUCAGCAGUCUUCCUUUAUUUUGGAAACAGCAAAGGCAAAUCAGAGGAGCUGCAAAUGAACCAGCAGCCUCCAUCUCCUAAACCUCUGAGAAUCAAUUAGCAGAAAAAUGCAUCAAAUACUUUUGGGGUCUUCCAUCUCUGCACAGUGAGUCCUUGUGCUCAAUUAUCCAUCAUCCAGAUGACUGUCCCUCAACUUGGGUCAUUUUUAAUGGCAUCUCCAAAGCUUCCACAUCUCAAGGACCUUUAGGACUUUCCAAUUUCCAGCCUCUGAUCUUGCCCGAGAUCCAAUCCCACUCCUCAACUAAAACUGUCUCCCAAUCGCAGUCACAACAUGCUACUCAGGCCCAGUCUCAGUCCAACCUUCCAUCUCCAAUCCCAAUGCUACCAACAUCUCCUGAUUUCCAGCUUAGGAUCUGUGGAGUGUUCUUCCAUAGACCCCAUAUUGAGGCACAGUGUCUCAUGCAAUCUGAACUUCAUCAGCUAGAAUACAAUGUGCUACAGAAAGAACAGGAACGUUUGUGGGGUUUACCCUCUAUGGUCCAAACAUGCCAGGAAUACCUUUGUCCUCCCCCUCCCAAUGUUUCAUUGGUGAGCCAGUCCUCCAAAAUCCAUGUUCCAAUCUCCAUCAUUCCUGGAGAUUACCCUCUGAGCAGCGAGCUUCAUAAGAAAUUUGAAUACCACCUUAGAAAGAGACUCAUUCAACACCGAUGGGGCCUACCCCGCAGGGUCCAUGAGUCUGACACUGAUUAAUCCUGAGAGGGAUGUUCCUGAAAUAUAUGCAUCAAAGAGUUUUCACAGACUCAAAUGGAUAUCUUUGUUGAAGGAACAGAGUAGCAACAAUUUAAGGAAUUCUGAAUCGAGCCAACUUCCAAUCUCCCAAAAGCUCAGAAGAGUUUCAGUCAGAUAACGAUGAGAAGGACCGUCAGAGAUAGCCCAAAGAAUGGCCCAAGUGGUCAUCUAUUGAGUGACCCAGAAGGAUACUCAGAUAACAGUUUAGGGUCUGACUCUGAUAAAGAUCAAGGAAGUCAUACAGUGAGUCUGUAUGGAAAUGAUUCAAGGGCCUCAGGGAUAAGUAUAAAUCAGAAACAACUAGAAAAUGCACUCAAAGAACAUUUGAAUAGGAAAAUUGAGGAAAUAAAUGAGGGUAGACUUCCUGAGACUGUUCAUAGUUCAUGGCAUGCCCUCAAGCAGACAGUAUCUUUCGCUGAGAAAUCUGAUGGUCAAAAACAGAUGGGGCAUCAUCUGUGAGAAACAUUAGCUUGAACACUUCCCAGGAGAUUUAUUUCUUGGGUCCCAGCAAACAGAAGAUGCUGGAAGACCAUAUAAGCAGUUUUUGCAUGAGGAUGAAAUGUGGCCUUCCCACCAGGGUCCUUGAAUCCAUACAGAUCUUCAGCAAGAGAGAGGACUCAUCUUCUUCCUUAGGCCAUUCCUAUCGUUCCUCCCAAGAUAGCCUUAGUUCUGGGAUGCAUUCCAAAGUUAUGGUAUCCAGGUAACUUGGUAGGAGCUCUACAGCUUUGUGUAGAGACAAAUUGAAGAUGAUAAAGUCAGUACCCAAUCUGGAUCAUCUCCUUCCUGCUGCAUCACUUGUAGGGAAGGGAGGACAGGGGGACCUGAGACCACUGUCCCCAGAGGAAAAACAGGAGCAUGCAAGUGUUCAGAUUAAGGAUGGCAGACAGACUUGUCCGUGCAUCGCAGACAAAGAAAUUAGGAAACAGACUGGACCAGACAAUAGGCACAGCCCAGUGCUAGUGUCCACAAGUCAUGAUGGGACUGGACCUGAGCCAAAGGAUAAGAGAGUGAGUUCCAGCAACAAAAAAGAAAGGCUUCAGGCUCCCAAAGAAAAGACUUCAGAAUACUUCCCAAGGUUUAACAAGUCUAGAGAGAGAUUUAAGGCAAAGGAGCUCUUUGCUCUUCAAUCAAAAUCUGCCAACACAUUGACAACCAGCAAGUCAGGGGACUUUGCACCGGUAGAUGUGAAAACAAAGAAAGAAAAAACUACCCUGGCGACUGAAAUUCCCUCACCAACAUCAGUUUCCCAGGAUCCUAAACUUUAAAAACUUUAAAAACAACUUGAUUAAAGAAUUAAAGUUGAAAUUGGAGAAUAGGGAUCAUAACCCUGUUCAAGGCCAGUCUAUUGAUAUGGCUGUUGCCUCACAUGAUUUCUAAAACCUUGACUUGUGCCCAGCGUGUCACCAAUGGAAGCUUCUCAGGUUAUGCAUGUACAUUUUGACAACACACCAGUCGGCAUGGAACAGCAUCAGGAGCCCUGGGUCCCUAAGCAUAUCUUGCAAAAAUGCUGGGAUAUGAAUGCCCCACAAAUUCAAAGAGACUGAGUCAUUUGCAACCAAAACCAGGAGACCUUGGUGAAGGGGAUGCAGGGUUGGGGACACCACAACCCAGUAGGAAGAGCUCCCCUGGUCAAGACAGGGCAUUAAAGAAGAUGCUUGGAAGCAGAUCUUCCCCAACCUCAUCACUGAAGGAUCAGCCUCCUCCUGAAAAUCUGUUCCGAAAACAGAUAUAGAAAUUUUUGCAAUGGAUUUGUCCUAGCAGCAAAAAACAAAGCACAAGAAAGUUUCCUUGGAAAGGGGACCUCCCCACCAUCAUCUGUGCAGAGCCAAAGCAAAGUAGAGCUGCCUCUACUGGCAACACCAAAACUCUACAAGUGAAGACACACAUUGGCAAGGUGUUAGAUGUGAAAACAGGGCGUAGCCAUGGUGUCAGAAUCCCCUGCCCCCAAGAAUCACGUUCCUCUCUGACAAAGCCUGUGAAAACUCUUAAGGCACAAUUGCAGGCUCAGGCAGAUACUGUCCAGGGACAUCCUUUUAACUACAAAGCUUCCUCCUGUAAAGUGAAAAGUAUCAAGUCAUGUAGCCAAGAAGUGCCCUUGGCUGACCAAAAUUACCCAUCGAAGAAUGCACUGACCAAAGACAGGGUGAGACAGCCCCAGAAAGUUGUGGCAUUCAAGGAUCAGCCACUAUUGCAGAGGCAUCCGGCAUCCAUGCCCAAUAAAGACUUCCUGCCCCAUCCAAACCAUACCUGUAGGCGUCAAGCCAGCCAGGUGUCUCCAACCACACCUACAUUUUCUGAAGGCACUGUAUUGGGAGAUCUGUCUCUACUCUUCAAACAUAAAAUGCUCCUUCAGCAUUUCCAGGGAGGAAGAUUUCCUCCUCCCAAAUAGUUUAUCCCUUCUUGAACACACUGAUGUUCCCCAAUAAAUAUUCUAAUAAUUGUUAUCUUUUAUAUGUACUAUUUUGGAGACAUGGGAUUUGAGUAACAUAAGGUUUAUACUUAGGAAAAAGAAGGAAUUAGUUCAGCACUUACUCAUCAUCUCUUUUGGCUUCUAAAUGAUGACAGUGCACUGGAGCUCUAGGGGGAUAGUUAUCAAGUGCCCCUUAAGGCCCUUCUGUCCCCAGAGAAGUCUGAGGACAUGUGCUGUUUCCUAGUCCGUAGGAUAUUUGUGGCAGCCCAUAUACCCUCCCCAUCACUGUCUAUUUCUUGGCCUCUGGAAAAAUAAGGGAGGUAAGUCAUCAUAUCUGAAGAGGGUCAAAGUCACAUAUCUUUUUCAGAAAAUUGUGCUUAAUCUUAUUUUUUUUAAAAAAAUUGUAAUGACUAGAGCAUGACACAGGAGGGUGAACCUCGCUUCAUGGGACUGAUUGGGUUAAGGUCUAGGAACAUUAUUAUUGUUGGUUGAGAAUCUGUCAUGAGAGGCAUAGUAAUGCAUUGGGAAACCAUACUUUGGGGCGUUGAUGUUUUCCUACUGGAAAAUAAGCUUAUGAAGGUAGCUUCCUGCCCUGGGUAAUUCUUCAGGCUGGCUGAAUUGAUUACAUUUUUGCAGGGCAAAAUAAUCCCCUAGAUCGAAGUUGGCGAACCCUAAAGGCUUCCAUAGCCUUGGCAACUCAUGACUAGAGCCUAGGGAGAUUACUGACGCCAUAAACAAGAGUGUCAAAUUGUUAAGUCAACAACAGGAGUAACUGUAUACUUACGUCUCAUGUGGGAUCUGUCCUUAAUGUGUUGUCCAAUGUGAAGUAAUGCUGUAACUAGUACUGAAACAGUAUUUUUACACUUUGUGUUUCUAUGUGGGUGCAAACUGAUGAAAUCUUUACUUAGUAUAUACUGAAUCAAUCUUCUGUAUAUAAUAAUUGAAAAUGAAAAAAAACUUGGUUUUAAAUUGGACAUUGCAUAAAAAAUUAUUUAAAAAAUAUCAUGUAGGAUCUCUGUCCUUAAUGUGCUGUACAUUGUGAUUUAAUGCUAUAACUAGUACUCCAACAGUAUUUUUCACUUUGUGUUGCUAUGUGGGGGCAAACUGUUGAAAUAUUUACUUUAUAUACAGAAGAUCAGUUUAGUAUAAAGAGAAUUGAAAAUGAAUCUUGAUGUGAAUGGAA